ACCGAAUCCUGUUGCAUUGGACACCAUGAGCAAAUAACAAAUGAAUUUCGUUAAAUGCUCGUAAGAAGGAAAAGUAUUUUUUCACAGGAAAAGUAUAAACUAAGAUCUCAAACAUGAGGAGUUAGUUCAAAUUUUCAGUCAACCAGCAACUGAAGAGACCUGAGGUGGAUAAUUCGACAAACGUCACACAUGCACUCAGAGCUUGAAAAGCGCAAGAACCCAGAAGCCAGAAUGCAAUGAUUGCACUUCAACUACAGAUCUGUUCCGUUUUGAACUGAAAUUUACACGCAGGAAACUAAGUUCGUGAAACUACGAAGCAGACACCUAAUUUAAGAAACAGCAUCUUGAUCCGAGAAAACCAAGGUAAGUGAACCCAUUCAGAACCAAAAUCAAGCACAAUUACACAAUAGAAACAGUUAAAACUCAAGUCAAACAUCAAAUCGACCAAUCGUAAACAGCAAAGGGAAACCCAAUUCACCGCAGAAGAAAUUCAAAAGCCAAAAUGGAGGAAAUAAUCAGAAGAAGAGAAGCAAAAUGACAUGGUGACGACCUCGAAUUUAGAAAGGGAAGUGG
RNAcentral lists this unclassified non-coding RNA (573 nucleotides) under Hevea brasiliensis (rubber tree). Lineage: Eukaryota; Viridiplantae; Streptophyta; Magnoliopsida; Malpighiales; Euphorbiaceae. The record is from RNAcentral.